This is a long non-coding RNA of Trichoplusia ni (cabbage looper), 480 nucleotides long. RefSeq lists it as uncharacterized. Lineage: Eukaryota; Metazoa; Arthropoda; Insecta; Lepidoptera; Noctuidae. The transcript is spliced from 3 exons. The record is from RefSeq and is a predicted model, not a curated record.
UUUAUCGGAGUGGUUAACAUUCGAGUUAUCAUCUCAUAGCCAUGUCUGUGGUGCGUGUUAUGACAAGAUAUCAAGAUGUCUUGCAACGAACUCCAGGGAAAGACAACUCGGUCAUAUCAAUGUUUGUUGUGGCUGUGGUAAAUCAGUUACAUGUGCCAAAAGACACGAAAUUCUGGAGGGAAGCCCUCUCGCCUCAGUUGUAUCACUGUGGCAGUACUUACAUGAUGACAUGUUAGAGCAGCCAACUUUUUAUGUCAUGGUUGUUACAUGAGAGCUAACAGCGAAGUGAGCCGAAGAAUGAUUACUGAUUCCAACCAUUUUCACGCCUUAGAAGAUCACCAACCUGAUCAAAUAAUCCAAAUACCAAUUCCUCCACCACCUCCUCCACAACUUCCUCCACCACUUGCUCCACAACUUCAUUUUGGCCCAGGUCAAGAUGUUUCAUCAAUUGCCCUACCUAAUUAUAGAUGUUGUGCUAAU